UCUACGAGAUGAACGGCCAAGAUUUCAAAAGAUCGAGAUUUGGCCGGCCAAGAUUUCAAGAGAUCGAGAUUUGGCCAAGAUUUCUAAGGACGCGGAUGCGGUGUGGUCAUUACAUUCAAAUUGAUGUAGGUCUGAGUCGUGAUCAUUACGUUUGAUCUUCAUAGAGGAUCCAUUUAGCAAACUUUGCGAAGAAACCUACUUGAGGCCUUGAUGAGGAGUACAUUACAUUAAUACUGGAGGAUCUUCUCUCUAAGUUUCAUAUUAGAAAUAAGAAAAUAUUGACAAUGAAUGAAGAU
Molecule: long non-coding RNA, 296 nt
Organism: Saccostrea echinata
Lineage: Eukaryota; Metazoa; Mollusca; Bivalvia; Ostreida; Ostreidae
Exons: 3
Source: RefSeq, a predicted model, not a curated record